This 438-nucleotide ribosomal RNA is filed under the name uncultured bacterium. RNAcentral's name for it is "partial 16S ribosomal RNA". It matches the Rfam family "Bacterial small subunit ribosomal RNA", at positions 338 to 795 of the family's 1533-position model. The record is from RNAcentral.
CCUACGGGGGGCAGCAGUGGGGGAUAUUGCACAAUGGGGGGAACCCUGAUGCAGCGACGCCGCGUGGGUGAAGAAGCGCCUCGGCGCGUAAAGCCCUGUCAGCAGGGAAGAAAAUGACGGUACCUGAAGAAGAAGCCCCGGCUACUACGUGCCAGCAGCCGCGGUAAUACGUAGGGAGCAAGCGUUGUCCGGAAUUACUGGGUGUAAAGGGAGCGUAGGCAGGGAUGCAAGUUGGGUGUCAAAACUACCGGCUCAACCGAUAGUCGCACUCAAAACUGCAGCUCUUGAGUGAAGUAGAGGCAGGCGGAAUUCCUAGUGUAGCGGUGAAAUGCGUAGAUAUUAGGAGGAACACCGAUUGCGAAGGCAGCCUACUAAACUGCCACUGACAUUGAUGCUCGAAAGUGUGGGUAUCAAACAGGAUUAGAUACCCUGGUAGUC